RNAcentral lists this long non-coding RNA (15982 nucleotides) under Capsicum annuum. Its description in RNAcentral is "long non-coding RNA (CANN_LNC009936)". The record is from RNAcentral. Lineage: Eukaryota; Viridiplantae; Streptophyta; Magnoliopsida; Solanales; Solanaceae.
CUUCAAGAGAUAAGUAUUGAUUUUAUUUUUGAUUAAAAUAUGUGAUUAUGUAUUUUCUAUUUUACAUGCAAGCAGUCCUGCAUAUUCGCUUCCACUGCAUAUGUCUGUUUUCCAACACCGUAAACCCCAAAAUUCAUUGCAAAAUGAAGUGAUUAACCUGCAAAUAUGUUUAUCAAGAAAAAUGAAAGACAACACAGUAUAUCGAACGAUGAAAAAGAGAACGAUAGUUAUCAAACGAAGUUAUGAUAUAUAUUCAAAAAAAAAAAAAAAAGAAUUAGGAAGAAAAUUUCUUAGUGACCUUUAUUUCAUUUUCACCAGGGUCACAUGCUUCAGUUGUUAUUUAAUCUUCCGCAAGUCACGUUGCUCAUUUGGCAAUUUCAUUUCUACAACAGAGGAAAUCAAAUGUUAUUUUUUGUAUUUUACUCCAUUCUUUGAUGUCAACUGUGGAUUGUGCGGGGAGGCAACACAUCAUAUUUUUUUUUUCAAUAUAGAAUAAACUGAGCUUUCCAGAUAUUGAGCUAGAAGUGGGGGAAAAUGACUUUUUCACUUGAAUUCUGAAUAAGUUCUGAUUCAACCUGCUUUGAGAAUUUUGCAUACACAUCAAAUUGGCAUGUAGCAGUAUAUGUUUUUCCAAUUUAAUUUUUUUCUUAUAAGACGGCAAAAUGAGGCAAAAUUGAUAGACACUAUGUUUGAAUAUACCUACAAAAUCAUAGCAGAAAGUAUUUGGGAAUCAAUAAAUAUUUUGUUGAUUAUAAUUCAUGCAUUGAAAUUUUCUUCUCAUUAGACUCCUCACUUCUUGUCUGCUCUUUGAACACACUGAAAUAUAACAACUUUUAGUUUAUUCAGAAGUGAUAUUUUUGCCUCAAUGGAGAAGGAGCGCUCUAGUGUAAAAAAAGUGAGACUGAGCAUUAAAAGGAUAAAUAAUGGUACAAACUAUGAAUUAUGUGAAUAGAAGUUACAGUAACAUCCCAUUGUGAAUGAACAUUUGCAAUUGACACCAUUUCUUCUUUUACUGAAAUAGAGAUAGGAUGUCCAGAUUGAGAUGUGCUCCUCACAGUGAAAGAGUCUAGCAUUUCUCUGUUUUUUGCAACUUUGUGUGAGAAAGAGUUUAAAAAUAAUUAUAAUAGAAAGAAAUAAGCACAAUAUACAAAUGAGUAAUCUGAUAUUGCAAGUGCAGUUGUAUGCAUUAUAAAUAUUAUGGAUCAAUCUGUAUUAUUGUGUUGAAUUUUGUUGUCAUCGAUGUACUUACAUUAGGUAUAAUGAUUUUUACUUAAGUAGAAAUUUAUGUAAAUAAAUUAAUUAAAGUAACAUAAGAAAGUACAAAUUUAUGUUGCUGUUAUGUACAACACAGAGUAUUAUUUACUUUAGCUUACCGUUGUAUUUGGACAUCCCAAUACGCCUAACAAAGAUGGUUAGACGUUCUUAAAAUUGCCUAAGGAUAGUCUUAAAAACAUAAAACAUGACAGGUGUAAAGUUGAAAUUAAAGUAUUAAAAAAAAUAACAAAGCAUUUUUUUUUUUUAAAUGAACUAAAAGUGAAAGUAAGUCAUUGGAGGAAAUAACUUUUUCUUAUUUUGUCAUUUCCACAUUCGACCAACUCUUAUUUGUCGUGCAAUUUAAAAGUUGGGCAAUUGUCAUAAAUCCUAGUAGUUUAGCACCUAAUUAUAUACAAUUUCGACUGUUUUCAUAUUUACAUAAAAUCUCAAUUUUUCGUUCAUUAUCGUGAUACAUAGCGAAGACUCACGAUACAUUACCAUCCGAUACAUAAGUACUGAUACAUAACUUUUAUGUAUUAAUGUUAUAGAGAUACAUAAGUACCGAUACAUAACUUUUAUGUAUUAAUGUUAUAUAUCAGCAGCACAAAAAAAAUUAAUACAUGAUUUUUGUAGGUUUUCAACCAAACACAUCUUUCUUAUAUAUUUAUAACCUAAUAUUCAGUAAGAUACAUAACUUUUGUACAUUUGGUGGAGGAUCCGUGAUGUAUCUUCUUAUCCUUUUCUACCAAAUUCAUCAUCUUAUCUAUCUCCAGACUCUCUAACAGAUACAACAUCCUUAUGUAUUUUCAUUAACAUCAUCUUCAACCACCACUGACGAAUGUAUUUUCAUUAACAUCAUCUUCAACCACCAUUGACGAAUCUCCGAACUUCCUCCGCACUCCACCCCCAACUCUCUCUGUCGCUGUAUCAGGCUAUCUUCGCUAGUAAACCCUCUCCGGCAAGACACCAAAUAGAACCCAACUCAGUCUCUUACACCACAUUGUUAUACCCUCACCCGCUUUGCCCAGUGUUGCGCUUCUUAUGUAUCUCGCUUCGUGUAAAUCAAAUAGACCUUAAUUCUUAUCUAUCCCCCAUCAUCAUUUGAGCUAAAAUCAGGGAUAUUUGGGUACUCAUGAAAGUGACAAUGUUAAUGUUUCAGAUGGGUUGAUGAUUUAAUCAACAUCAGAGAAAACGAGUGAUUGGUGAAUAGGAGAAAUAAAAAGACAAAUAAAGAGGAGAUGAAGAUCGAGGAAUACUACAGAGAGAUGCGAUUGGGAUGUGAAGGGGAGAAGAUGAUAGGGUUUAAGUAAUUAUGCUAGAUGAUCCUUUUAUAGAAAAGAAAAAUUAGGGAUUCAUGUAAUUGGUUUAAAGGAUUGAAAUUUUAAGUAAUGGUGGUAACCUAAAGUAUGGGCUUGUGUACUUUUUCCUUGAAAGUUUGGCUAUUGAAAGUCACAUAAUGUUUUGAGAAAUUUGGGAUUUUUCUUUUAGUCAAACGAUAAAGCUUUUUCAUCAACCAAAUUAGACAUGCACACCAGCUAGGCAGGUGGGACUCUAGAUGUAGACCUCAAUACAAUACUAUCUAAUUUAGAAUGAAAGCUAACCUAGAUAGGGAAGAAAUUUAAUUGAUGUAGUAAGCUUUUGAUCAUGAUUUUUUUUUGAAAAAAAAUUAUUUAAAAUUUUUAAAGUUGAAGUUAUAUUUGGUCAUAGCAUUUGCAGUUAGCAUUUGUAAUUUAAAUAUAUUUUAAAAAAUAUAAAAUAUUACAUUUGAACAUGAAAUAUAAUUUAGAUGAGAUUAUUUUAUGAAAAUAAAAAAUUUAGAAUUUUAUUAAAAUAAAUAAAUAAGUGAAAACAACGUCUUGGUCGUUUUUGAAAUUCUAAAUAAAGCUUCAAAUUGUAUUUGAAAUUUUUAUAGCCAAACAGGCAAACAUUGUUUUUCAAAUAAAGUGAAAUAAUAUUUCGAGAAGAAGUUAAUACUCCUCCAUUUUAAAAAAAAUGAUCUACUUUUUUUUUAGUCCGUCUAAAAGAAUAUAACCUUUCCUUUUUAGCAAUACUUUAAUUUCAACUUUUAAUGUGGCAUAUUUAAGACUACAAGAUUAAAAGACAUUUUUAUACAUUUGACAUAACUUUAAUUUAUAAUCAUAAAAUUCAAAGGUCUUUUUGUUUUCUUAAAUUUUAUGUUAAGUCAAAACAUAUAGUAAUUCUUUUUGAAACUGAGGAAAUAAUGUCCAUGGCUAAACGCUCCCAUAGAAUGACAACGAGCCACCCUAGUAUAUCACCUCGUGUUCCUCGUUUGCGCGUAUUGUUUGAGACCCAAAUGGGAUGUUAGUAACAGUUGAAGUAAUUUGAUUCUACUGUUGCUAUAUCUUAAGAUGUUCCUAGUAAUGAUGGGUUUUAGCCUUAUAUAGUUCACACUAAUAGGCAGAAUUCAGUCAAGCCAACGACUUCAAAACGAAAAACACGUAUGAAGCAUCAAUUAUAUAUUAUUAAAAGAAAAUAGGAUUCGUAUUUAAAUAGAAAGUCUUUAUUACAUACUUAGGGAUAAAAAAAAUAAUCUUAAUAUCAUUGAACCAAUAAUAUAUUUUCUUUUUAAUUUAUGAUUAAACUAGUUUUUGCACGUACCUGCUUUCAAGGCUAUUCUUGUUGAUCACUCAUUCUGCACGCGGCUUAGGAGACAUCUGACCAUGAAAAUUUCACUUUUUUUUAAAGUUGAACUUUGAAAACACGUUAAGCCAUAAAAUUCUGAAAAAUUAUGUUCUCACUUUUUCCAAAAACAACAAAAUAUUUGUUCACUUUUUUCACUCAACACAAAAUAUUUGUUCACUUUUUUCACUCAACAUACUCACAAUUUUUUCCAAAAAAAAAUUAUUUCACGGCCAAACACAAAUUUCAAUUUGAAAAUACUAGUAUAAUUUUUCAAUUUAAAAUUCUAAUUUAAUUUUUUCUAUUUUUUUCACAAUGAACAUGAUCAAAGGCCUACCUAAAAGCCCCAAACCACACGGGCCAGAAUUUACAAAAGCCCAAGCCCAAAUCAAAAAGCCUCUAGGCCCAAAGUUUGCACUAUAAAAGGCAAAGACACCUUCUUCUGGAGGGAAAAAUUCAAAAUUUGAAUUUGAAAUCACAGAGGGGGAGAGACAGAGAGACAACAAUGGCAUCAAACUCAGAUAUGAAGAAUUUUUAUAAGCAAACGAAGAAGAACGGUGGAAUUGCAAAGCUGUCACAUUCAAAAUCACCAUAUGCUGCUACUACUACGAAGAAAUCAGAAAUUCCAAAGCUCGCUACUGCUGACGGCUCUCCAGCUCUCUUUUCCAAUGGAUCUCCCAAUUUGCAAGCUGGUUAGCGUUUUCCCUAAUUUUAUACGUUCAUACCUUAUGGAGCAUUUGUUACUCUUUCCAUUCCUUUUUACUUGUCAUAUUUUGUUUCUCAAGAGUCAAAUUGCAUGAACUUUGAUCAAUACUUUAAGAUGUGCUUUUUAACUUAUAGUAUUUUUCGUAUAGCUUUUGGACAUUUAGCUCUGAAAAUUAGUCAAAUUGACUUUUGUUAAGCGAAAUGUGACAAGUAAAAAAGAAAAGGGAGGGAGGAGGGGGGGAUUUUAUUGUAAUUUUGCAUAUAUGUUUAUGCUUUGCAUCAGAAGUACUAGAUUCAAUGAACUCGGCUGCUAUCAGUCACUGUCAUUUCGCACAGAGGAAUCCACAGAAAAUAGAUUUCUGGAUUAGUUUUUCAGUGUUUGGUUGACUAAAGUAAGUUAUAGGAGUAUAUGAUAUUCAGACAAUACAAGCUCUAAGAUAGAUUAUUAGGAUGAGGAUAGUUUCUCGGGAAAAAAAUGUUAAUCUAUGCUGCAAAAUGAAUACAGUCUUCGAACCUCAUAUCCUGUGGAUCUCUCAAUUUGCAAGCUGAAAUGCAUUUUCCAUAAGGUUAUGGGUUCAUUCGUAGUUUUUGUUACAAUUUUAGUUAGUGUAGUAUUUGUUACAAUUUUAGUUAGUGUAGUUUUGCACAUAUAUUUAUGCUCUCGUAAAAGUACUAGGUUCAGAUGAACGAUGCUGCUAUGUUGACUCUGCCACAGUCAUUUAAUACAUAGGAAUCCACGGGAAAUAAUUCUGUGGAUUAGUUUUUCAGUAUUUGGUUGGGUGUAAAGUAAGUUAUAUAUGAUAUUCAUAUAAUACAAAUUAAAAGAUUUUGAGUAUGAGGAUAGUUUUUCUGAAAAAAAAAGUAUAUUGUGUUGCAUAUUCAAUACCGUAUACUUUUUGGCCUCAAUGUUUAUUUCCCUCUUUGUUCAUGAUCAGAUUGGAAGACCUGAAAUGUGAUGAGUUUGGUCUAUACAUGAUAAAUAUAUUUUUUCAAGAGUCGUUUUGGGUUGAAAUGCCAACAACAACAACAACAACAACAUACCCAGUAUAUUCCCACCAAGUGGGGUCUGGGGAGGGUAAGUGUAUGCAGUCCAUACCACUACCUCAGAUGUGAGAUAGAGAGGCUGUUUCCGAUAGACCCCCGGUUGGGUUGAAAUGCCAAAUUUAGGAUUUGUUAUUCCAUUAUUGAUGGCAUUUGAAAUGAUACAGUAGAGUACUAGUUACAGGAUUGCAUGAAACAAAUCAUAGUACCUUUUAGUUGGUUUUCUAAUUAAGUGAUUGAAUUUGUGAUUCAUACAUUACUCGUUAGAGUACUGCUUAUGUCUUCAUAGAUGUUAUGUUUUUGCUUUCCUUGAUCCCGAGGGUCUACCGGAAACAGCCUCUCUACCUGUCAAGGUAGGGGUAAGGUGUGCGUACACUCUACUCUCCCAAGAUCCCACUUGUGGGGCUGUACUACAUUUGUUGUUGUUGUAUGUUACUUGUUAGAGUGUAGUUUUGUUCACAAUGAAGAAUGACUAACUUUUUUUUGUUAGAACCUGUCGUAGAAGCUCGAUAUUGAUCGAGACUUUGGGUGAGAAAACUGAUGUUGUGCAAAAGGAAAAUAUCUGUGUAUUGAGCUGACUACUUAGUAGGUACUUUGUACAGAUAGUACAAUCUAACCGACUAACUACUUUCAGGUACAAACUAACCUAUACGGAACAUUUCGCCUCUAAGUAUAUGCAAACUUACCCCUCUAACUACUAUAUACUUCAACACUAUUUAUCAUUUAGAUUUUAGAGCUAGCUAGUCAUGAUAUGCUGUCCAUACUCUACAUAUGGUGCAAAUUUUUAAAUGAGCCAUUGUUGCUUUCAAGAGAAAGUUGUACUAUAUUUUCUUCUGGUAGCUUUCAAAGGUUGCAUUAGUUCAUGAACGAUUCAGAGUGUCCUCCAUUUGUGGGGGUAGAUGGUGGGGUGGGGAUGGUUAGAGACUGGCUAAUCAGAAGCUUGAAAGUUCACUACCCCGUGGACACACUUCAUGUGUAUAUGUUUGUUAUUUCCACAAUAUAUUCGAGUAUGCAGAAUCUGUAUAUUGCAACAACAACUUCAACUCGAGUUCAAGUAUGAACAAGAACACAAUGAAGUAUCAAAUACCCUCAACACAAGAUCAAAAUGACCUUUCCAAGAGGUAUAUUUAUUUUUUCAGAAAAUAAAGAUGAAACAGAAAUGAUUAAGGCCAAGUCGUCCGAAUUCACGUAUUUUCCUUAAGGAAUAAUUCCCCUCACUGUACCCGACGUUAUGAAAUCUUCCUCCCAGAAUAAAAUGGCCUUCAAUUCGACUAUAGAGGUACCUCAAAUAGGCGGAUUCUUCGAACACACUCACGGUUUGAAUGAUCACACUUAGAGUAUUUUUAAGACAAGAAGAAUGUUUUGUAAUCUGAAAAUUUCUGUAUUUUCUAUCUCUUAACCUGUGGAUGAAAACCAAGUUAUUUAUAGCCAAGAGAUGCCUCUUCUGAAAAGAGACAAAGGUUCAUCUAAAAGGUGUUACCUUUUCUGAAAAUUCAUGUCCAUUCGGCCAAACAGCGUGACUGUUCCUGAACAGGCAUGUCAUUUCGUGAAUAAGUGUGUUCACGUAAAUAGUGGUACUGUUCACGCAAAACAGUGCCACUGUUUACACAAAAUAGUGCAACUGUUCACGUAACAGUGCGCUACUGUUCACGUAAAACAUUACUGUUACUGCAUGCAAAAAUUGUUAAAUGGAGGAUUACUGUUCAGAAAUUCGGAUCUCAAAUAAAUUUUGUCCAAAAAGAUAGAUCUCAUCAAUCGAUCAUUUGCCAAAUCCAAAUCCGAAGGCGAGCGAGCGACGGCGGCAGCGCAAGACAUCAUCUAUUUCUUGCCUCACUUGCCAUGUGGAGUACGUGUUUCUCAUUAUAAACACUCUCAAGUUCUCUUCUUCCAUCAAUGUGGGAGAAAGAGUAAACUUACCAAAAUUGAGUACACUUUCCAAUUUGGUGUUAACUCAAUUUUUUUUUCUCUUCCACUUGAUUUCUCCAUUUUUCAUUCAACACACUUUCAUUACUAUGAACCCAACAAUGUUUACCUGGGCGUGUUUAGUUUUGUAUUUGCUCAAACUAUAAUAAAUAGAAUUACUCUCAAUGUGCUAAUUAGGAUGUAUUUCAGUAAACAGAAAUCAAAUCAAUAUAGGAUGCUUUCAUUUAAUUCCAGAACAUAUAACAUGAUCAAUUCCUAAACUGUAUCAAUUAAACAAUAAUCUGCAUACAUAUAUAGUUACCUUAUUUCCUUGGAAAUGAAAAUUAGUAACAUAUGUUCAUAUUAUUUUUGAACAAUAUUAUAUGAUGCAUUCUGAAAUUAAAAAACAGAAGACACAUUAUAUGAUGCAUUCUUUGAUAUUUCUCGAUAUAGUGGACUCAGGGAUAAGUAAUCAGACCAUACCUUUUGCUAUCAGAUGCAUGCUGUGCAGGAUGACGGAUAAUACUUUCUCAUCCUGCUAAAUCCUAUCAAUAAAUGAUAGUAUGCACAUUUUUGUGAAGAUGAUGUUUUCCUCAUUCCUGAACUAUCGUCUCUCUUGUUGCGUGCUUAAUUUUGUUUUACUUUUUGUCAUUGUGGCCUUGCCAAUGCUACUACUGGAAUAAUGAAUUGUUGCACACUCUGUGUAUGCAUAUUUGAUUGAUUAAUGGUAUAAAUGAGUUUCAAAAAAGGCUACGGAAAUUGGCUUUACAACGAGUUGUCUAUAUGGAAUGACAGAUAGACAAACUUGCUGCUAUUCAAAUAGAAAAACAUAAAUGCUAAAUGCGAUCACCAACAUAGCAGGAACAAAGUUUUGGAUAGCCACGUAAAAAGUCUACUAUUCUAGAUUAUACUGUUGAAUUAUCACUAAAGUGCAAUCUCCCUUGGAAAUUUGUUAGAUCAGUAUUGUGAUUGAAGGUCUUCUUUCAUGGUGUAACAAGGAGAAUGUAGCUUGAGAUUUUCUUUGUGUCACUGUUCCUAUUCAUAUCUACAAGCAGAGCCACAUAAAAAGUCUACUACUCUAGAUUAUACUGUUGAAUUAUCACUAAAGUGCUAUCUCCCUCGGAAAUUUUUUUUGAUCAGUAUUGUGAUUGAAGGUCUUCUUUGUAUGGUGUUACAAGGAGAAUGUAGCUUGAGAUUUUCUUUGUGUCACUCUUCCUAUUCAUAUCUACGAGCAGAGCCAUGUAAAAGGUCUACUAUUCUUGAUUAUACUGUUGAAUUAUCACUAAACCCUCAGAAUUUUUUUUGAUCCGUAUUGUGAUUGAAGGUCUUCUUUGUAUGGUGUUACAAGGAGAAUGUAGUUUGAGAUUUUCUUUGUGUCGCUGUUCCUAUUCAUAUUUACGAGCAGAGUCACGUAAAAAGUCUACUAUUCUAGAUUAUACUGUUGAAUUAUCACUAAAGUGCAAGCUCCCUCAAAAAUUUUUUUGAUUAGUAUUGUGAUUGAAGGUCUUCUUUGUAUGGUGUUACAAGGAGAGUGUAGCUUGAGAUUUUCUUUGUGUCGCUCUUCCUAUUCAUAUCUACGAGCAGAGAAAAUAAGGUAACAUUCACUAUCACUCACAAUUUUUGGAACUGCCUUUUGGAUAAUAGCGACCUUAUGUUUUAUUUUUGUAUCUGCUACGAUCUAUUCAUCGAUCAGUUUUCUUCUUGUAAAACUUUUUCUCAUAUCAAGUGUUUGCAUUUGUACUUAACAAUCACAAUUACUGAAAUUUUCAGAUGAUUAUGAUGGGAAAGAGGAGUUACUAAGGCAAUUUGACACAAAUAAGGCUUAUGGACCCUGUCUUGGAUUGAGCAGACUUGACAGAUGGGAGCGUGCUAAGAAUCUUGGUUUAAACCCUCCUAGAGAUGUUGAGCCGAUAUUGAGAUCUAGCAAGGUUCGCAACGAAUGCCUGUGGGAUGGAAGGGUUUAAACUUUGUUUAUGUUAUCAUCAGGGUAGCUCAUAGUACUUCGUUUUCCUGUUCUGCUUGUUCCGGGGGAAAAAUUACAGCAUCUAGCUGUAUGGUAGAUUUCGAGUUCACCUUAUUCCUGAUCUAAGGUUCUUUGAAGUUAGUAUUGUCUUUCAUUUGAUGAAUUUGCCGCUGAAAAAAUGCAGUGUCCGAAGGUCCGGUUAACACAAUUACUUGUUUUUGUCACUCCAUAUGUUCCCAUUUGCUAUAUAUUAACAUACCCACCUGUUUUUCUCACUCAUUAUGAUAUGGUUUGAGUUGAGGGUUUUUCAAAUACAGCCUCUCAAGGUAGGAGCAAAUUCUGCACACUUUACCCUCCCCUAAACCCACUUGUGGGAUUACUUAUGUUGUGUAUUAUGAUCUUAUGUUCUGUUAUAUUUUUCUUGCUAAGAAGUUUUCUUUGAAUAUGUUCUUUUAUCAGUCUAGAUGUGCUUUUACCCUUUGAAUUGCAUUGUUUCUAAUUUGGUUUCUCGGAUUUGUGACUGAUGUCUCUAUUCACGUUUACUUAUUCAUAAUGUACGCUCUUAAAAAAUAAAUAAAUAAAAUGUAUAUUUUAUUAUAAUACUAGAUGUCGAAGCACAGACUCCAUAUAUGUUAUUUUUUUGUUUCAAUUUAUGUGCGACAAAUAGAAUUUAGACAAUUAUAUUUUAAACAUAUUUUAGAUAUUUUAACUUGUUAAUUAUCGUAAUUUAUAAUAUUUUUAUGUAAUUUUCAAAUAAUACAUGCUACUCUCCUUGUUCAAACUUUUGUGACAUUGUUAGUCAAUUAUAUUUUUAAAAUAAUUUAAUUUUUUAUUGAGAUUUAUAAUACCUCUUAUCUAUCUCAAUUUAAAUGACAUUGAUAUAAUUUUGAGCGUUAACUAAAUAUUUUAUGUAUUUAAAUUUUUUAAAUCGUUAAUUAUUUUGAUUUAUAAUAUUUUUUUUUAGAAAUAUAUAACAAAUUAAUUUUCUUAAAGAUAUUUUAAGUUGUUAACUAUAUUGUAAUUAUAAUACUUUUUAUGUAAUUUUCAUAUAAUACAUGAGAAACUCCCCUUGUUCGAACUUUUGUGGCACUGAUAGUCAAUUAUAUUUUUAUUAUUCAAAUUUAAGUGACAUUGAUAUAAUUUCAAAAGUCAACUAAACAUGUAUAUCUUUUAAAAUUUUUAAGUUGUUAGUUAUUGUAAUAUAGAUAUUUUUUUUUACGUAUUUCUUUCAAUAUAUAGCAAAUUAUUUCUUUUUAGAUAUUCUAAGAUAUUAAAUAUUAUAACUUAAAAUAUUUUUUUUGUAAUUUUCAAAUAAUGUAUGUUACUUUAGAUAUUUUAAGCUGUUAGCUAUUGUAAUUUAUAAUACUUUUUUAUGUAAUUUUCAAAUAAUAUAUGUUACUCUGCUUGUCCAAAAUUUUGGGGCACUGAUAGUCAAUUAUAUAUUUUUAAAUAAUUUAAUAUUUUGAUUUAUAAUAUUUUUUUCUGUUCCAAUUUAAAUGACACAACGUUUAGAUGGUCAUAAUAAUUAAUUAAGGGUGAUAUAGUAAAAUUAUGAUUAAAGCAGCGAAAUAGAUAUGUCUUAAAUGACUUAUAAUAACUAAUUAGAAAUGAUAUAAAAAAAAAUACUACACAAAUUGCUUUUGGGAAAAAAAUUUAAGGUCUCAUCUAAGACAUCAAGUUACUUUAAUAUUAAAUAUUAUUAAUUUUUUAAUACUCAAAUGACUUUAUAAUAAUAGAAAUGUUUCUCUUAAACUAUGGGAAUUACUCAUGUCCUUGCCUCAAUUAAGAACCUACUGUUGAAGUGGUGGAAAACUAGAGCAUCCAAUAGAGCCCAUAAACUGAUGUUUCAGGCUCUUCCAAUCAUCAUAUGCUGGAACUUGUGGAAGAACAGGUGUUCUGUUAAAUAUGGUGACAAACAACCCCAAUUAGCCAGAGUUAUAUAUGUCCCUUCUACUGUACAAUGCAUUUCCUUACAUCCCCUGGCCUUCUGGUUGGUCCAACCUGGCAACUUAUGUGGAGAAAUUUAGCCAAGAGACAAAAGUCACAACUGUAUAUUGGACUAAACCACUAGCUCAAAUGGUCAAGUUGAAUUCUGAUGCCAGUGCAUUCACUAAUGCUGGAAGGAUUGGUGUAGGGGAAGUUAUUAGAGAUCAUAAUGGUGAUGUCAUUUAUGCUUAUGCUGCUCCCUUGGGACAGGGGACUAAUAACCAGGUAGAGGUGGAGGCUGCUAUAUGGGGCCUAUCUUGGUGUCUGAGCAAUGGUAUACAACAGGUUGUGAUGGAGGUGAACUCUGAGCUCUUGGUCAGAUGGAUAAGGAAACAAAUACCAAUAUUAUGGCACCUGCAACCCCUUGUGGAAUCCUUAAUGAAGCUCAUUUCACAGCUUCAUCUCUGUAUUUGUAGACAUGUUUACAAAGAAGCUAACUUUGUAGCAGAUGUCCUGUCAAAAGUUACCCACCAAUCCGACCAUCCACAACAUUAUUUCCACAGUUGUCAGCUCCCAUCUUCACCAACAGGUUACUUUCAACUAGAUAAACUGGGCAUGCCAAGCUUCAAGAGAAGGAAGGUGAACAAGUUACAGAAACCACCUUAGUGCAUGGUAAGAACUGGAAAGAAGGCAUAAGCAUGUCAUAUUAGUUUUAGCAUAGUUGUAUAUUGUAACCCCUGUUUAGUUUCAUUCUUCCAUAUGUUGUUGCACCAAUUGAGGUCAGGUUUAUGCCCCCUCUAUGUACAUUUUCUCUUGUGGUUAAAUGAUAAAGCCUGGGGGUGCUGCUCAGCCCCCAAAAUUUCUAAAAAAAAAAGAAAUAAUAAUAUUUUUUUAAUUCUUAGAUGACUUAUAAUAAUUAUUAGGGGCAAUAUAGUAAAAUUACAGCUGAAGCAAUUGAAGCAGACAUGUCAUAAAUGUCUAUACUAUUUUUUAAUUAAAUAUUGUAUUAAUGUUUUAAUACAUAAAUGACGUAUAAUAAUUAAUUAGGAAUAAUAUAAUAAAAUCAUGGAGCAAGCAGCUUAAUCGUCGGCAAGCAGGACGACAGGAAGUUGCUAAAACUCCCUCUUAUAUUAUAAUAUGUCAUGAUUAUUAGCAUUUCAUAAAGACUUAAAAAAUGAACAAAUAGUAUAAUAGACAAGUAAAAAUGAACGGAGUAAGUGGAUUCUAAUUGCCAGACUUAAAAAAAGAAUAAAUAGUAUAAUAAAUAAGUAAAAAUGAACGGAGUAAGUGAAUUCUAAUUGCCAGUGAAAGGAAGCUAGUAGUAGUGUAUUUUUCUCGUAUUUGGUUGGCUUAAAAGUUUUGGAAAACGUUUUUCAAAUCAACUUAUUUUCCUCAAAUCUAAGGAAAAUGACUUCCCUUCAAAAAGUAAGGAAAACAUUUAUCAAAAUUCUCUUUCAACCUCACUUUUAAGUUGAGAUAUUCAUACUACUCUCAAAAUCAUCCGUCCCUACUUCGACCCUCAAUCCCCCACCCUCACCCCACCUCACCCCCUACCACCCCCAUCUAAAAAAAGUAUUUAAAAAAUUUUUCUUCCCUCAUCCCCCUACCCCCUCUCCCUAAAAAAAAUUUAUUUAAUUUUUUAAAAAAUAAUUCAAACUUUUUUCUUACCUCGCUCACUCGACCCCCACCCUUACCAACUCCUCCUCCUCCCUCUUUAAAAAAAAUCAAACUUUUUAAAUUUAAUUUUUGAAAAUUUUCAUUUUUUUUACACUUUCCUCACUCCCCUACCACGACCCCCACCCCCUAUCACCCUCCAUUCAAAAAAAAAAAUUUUAAUUUUUUUUCUUACCCACCCUUACUCCUUUACCUCCCCCCCUCCCUCCUUAAAAAAAAGUUAAUUUAUUUUUUUAAAAAAAUUAACUUUAUUUUGUUAUCCCACCUUUACUAUCUAUUUUGACAAUCCCAACCCCCACCUACCUCCCUCCUCUAAAAAAAAAACAAUUUUUUUAAUUUGUUUUUUUAAAAAAAAAAAUUCAAAACUUUUUUUCUUAUCCAUUCUUCUUAUCCUAUUCGUUUUCAUUGUUUUUGUUAAAUAUAUACAUUUACUUUUAGAAAACUUAUACUUACCCAAUUUGCAUAACGAAUACAAGAAUAUAAGUAAGAAACAACUUAUUUUUCUAAAAAACAUUUUCCUCCUUUAUAUCGAACACACCCCAAAAAAGUAUUUUUUAGGGUCAAAAAUUAUUUUUCUAAAAUGUAUUUUUACGCUUUAGCUAAACACUAAAAUGUAUAUUUUGAUAAAUAUUUUUUCAUUCACCAACCAAACACUAGAAAAUAUUUUUCGGAUAAUAUUUUCAAUCCACCAACCAACCAUAAGAAAACAAGUAAGAAAUCAACUUGUUUUUCAGGAAAACAUUUUCUAGAAAAAUAUUUUUCAUGGAAAAUAUUUUCCUUCUUUUUAAAAUAGUAGAUUGUAAUGUCAAAAGAAAGCGAGAGUAAAUUUCUAUAUUAUAGAAGAGAAGGUUUGAAUGCUUGCUUCACCUUCUUUAAACCAUUCCUAAUUAAUUAUUAUAAAUUAUUUAUAUAUUAAAAAAAUAAUAAUAUUUAAUAAAAACAUUAAAACAAAUAUGUAUGACAUGUUUGCUUUAGCUGGUUCAAGUUAUUUUACUAAAUAUCACCCCUAAUUAAUUAUUAUAAGUCAUAUAUGCAUUAAAAAUUAAUAAUAUUUAAUAAAAAAGUAGAAAUAGAUAUAAUUUGAUAAAUUAACUCUUAAUGUUUUAAAUUAACUUGACGUCUUAUAUAAGACCUACUUAAAUUUUUUUCACAAUUAUUUUUUAUAUAAUUAUGCUAUAUCACUUCUAAUUAGUUGUUGUAAGUCAUUUAAGGCAUGUCCGCUUCACUGCUUCAAUUGCGAUUUUACUAUAUUAUUCCUAAUUAAUUAUUAUGGCCAUCUAAGCAUCGCGCUGCUUAAAUUAGAAUAGAAGAAAAAGUAUUAUAAAUCACAAUAAUUUAGAACUUAAAUUAUUUAAAAAAUAUAAUUAACUAUCACUGCAACUAGGGAUGGGCGUUCGGCCAGUUCGGUCUAAUUGUUUAAUAUCGAUUCGAUUUAUCGAUUUUUGGAUUGACAAAAAUGAUAUCUAUAACCAAACCGAAAUAAAUUCUAUUUGUUUCAAUUUUUACAAAUUCGGUUCGGUUAUUUUGGAUUUUUAUUUCGGUUUGAAAUAUUAAAGUAGUUAGCCUCUCUUUUUCAUAACUGAGCAUUUAAAAUUGAUGGAUUUUUUUAGAAAAAUUAUUUUUUUCAAAUCUGUUUUUCAUUCUCAAAUAUAAAUAAUUAUAAAUAACUCAACAUGGAUGAAACGAAAUGAAAUAAUCAUAAGUUUAACAUAAUACAUAACGUCAUUAAUCAUUACAUAUAAUAUAACCUUGCAUAAAUAGUCUACAAAACAACACAAAACUCAUAAAAGUAGUCCAUGAAACAACAUACUUUCUGCAUAAAUAAUCCAUAGAACAGUCCAAAGUCACCAAAAUAGUCUAUAAAAUAUUUGAGUCGCUAAAACAAUUCAUAAACAGCCUGCGGCGUAUGCGAAUUUGCUAUUAAAUGUUAAUUAUGAAUGUGAAUUACUAAAUAUUUUAUAAUAUAAUAUAAUAUUAUAUAUAUAUAACAUAAUAUUAUAUAUAUUAUAUAAAUAAUAAAAUAUAUAUAUUAUUUAUUUAUUUAUAAAAUUUUGAUUUUUUGGUUUAAACCGAAUUUUUUUUAAAGACAAAAACCAAACCGAAAAAACGAAAUUCUAAAAUUACAAACCGAAUCCGAUCCAAAAAACUGAAACCAAAAUUAAGUUUUGGUUUGGUUUUUCGGUUUUUUUGAUUUAAACUAAAAUAUGCCCACCCCUAACUGCAAUAAAAGUUUGGACAAGGAGAGUAACAUAUAUUAUUUGAAAAUUAUAUAAAAAGUACUAUAAAUUACAAUAGUUAACAACUUAAAAUAUAAAAAAAACUAAUCUGUUAUAUAUUUCAAACAAAUACGUAAAAAUACUAUGAAUCACAAUAAUUAAUAACUUAAAAAAUUUAAAAGAUAUACAAUAUUUUAUUUACUCUCGAAAUUAUAUCAGUGCCAUUUAAAUUGAAAUAGAAGAAGAGUAUUAUAAAUCACAAUGAUUAAAAAUUUAAAUUAUUUUUAAAAUAUAAUUGACUAUCAAUGCCACAAAAGUUUGAACAAGAAAAGUAACGUACAUUAUACAUAAAUUUUUUUUUUUAUAAAUUACAAUAGUUAACAACUUAAAAUAUCUAAAAUAUAAUAAAAAUAUUAUUAAUUAUCUAAAUUCUAUUUGUGCCACAUUAAUUGAGAUAAAAAUAACAUGGAUCCGUGCUAACGCGGACCCCUCAUAUCUAAUAUAGCUUAUAGAAAAGAGAUUAUGUUGCAACCAGAGACAAAAUGUGUGGAAAACAAGAUGAGCCACAUUAAUGAGUAUAUAUUGGAGAAUAAACAACUACACCAGUACAACUUACAAGAUGAAAGGACGAGCUUCCAAGAGACCUGGUCCUAGAAAGUGU